UUUAUGGAGAGUUUGAUCCUGGCUCAGAGUGAACGCUGGCGGCGUGCCUAAUACAUGCAAGUCGAACGAUGAAGCUUCUAGCUUGCUAGAAGUGGAUUAGUGGCGCACGGGUGAGUAACGCAUAGAUAACAUGCCCUUUAGUCUAGGAUAGCCACUGGAAACGGUGAUUAAUACUGGAUACUCCCUACGGGGGAAAGUUUUUCGCUAAAGGAUUGGUCUAUGUCCUAUCAGCUUGUUGGUGAGGUAAUGGCUCACCAAGGCUAUGACGGGUAUCCGGCCUGAGAGGGUGAACGGACACACUGGAACUGAGACACGGUCCAGACUCCUACGGGAGGCAGCAGUAGGGAAUAUUGCUCAAUGGGGGAAACCCUGAAGCAGCAACGCCGCGUGGAGGAUGAAGGUUUUAGGAUUGUAAACUCCUUUUGUUAGAGAAGAUUAUGACGGUAUCUAACGAAUAAGCACCGGCUAACUCCGUGCCAGCAGCCGCGGUAAUACGGAGGGUGCAAGCGUUACUCGGAAUCACUGGGCGUAAAGAGUGCGCAGGCGGGGUAGCAAGUCAGAUGUGAAAUCCUAUGGCUUAACCAUAGAACUGCAUUUGAAACUGUUACUCUAGAGUAUGGGAGAGGUAGGUGGAAUUCUUGGUGUAGGGGUAAAAUCCGUAGAGAUCAAGAGGAAUACUCAUUGCGAAGGCGACCUACUGGAACAUUACUGACGCUCAUGCACGAAAGCGUGGGGAGCAAACAGGAUUAGAUACCCUGGUAGUCCACGCCCUAAACGAUGAAUGCUAGUUGUUGCCCUGCUUGUCAGGGCAGUAAUGCAGCUAACGCAUUAAGCAUUCCGCCUGGGGAGUACGGUCGCAAGAUUAAAACUCAAAGGAAUAGACGGGGACCCGCACAAGCGGUGGAGCAUGUGGUUUAAUUCGAAGAUACGCGAAGAACCUUACCUAGGCUUGACAUUGAUAGAAUCUACUAGAGAUAGUGGAGUGCCCUUUUAGGGAGCUUGAAAACAGGUGCUGCACGGCUGUCGUCAGCUCGUGUCGUGAGAUGUUGGGUUAAGUCCCGCAACGAGCGCAACCCUCGUCCUUAGUUGCUAGCAGUUUGGCUGAGCACUCUAAGGAGACUGCCUUCGUAAGGAGGAGGAAGGUGAGGACGACGUCAAGUCAUCAUGGCCCUUACGCCUAGGGCUACACACGUGCUACAAUGGGAUGCACAAAGAGAUGCAAUAUCGCAAGGUGGAGCUAAUCUCAAAAACAUCUCUCAGUUCGGAUUGUAGUCUGCAACUCGACUACAUGAAGCUGGAAUCGCUAGUAAUCGUGAAUCAGCCAUGUCACGGUGAAUACGUUCCCGGGUCUUGUACUCACCGCCCGUCACACCAUGGGAGUUGUAUUCGCCUUAAGUCGGGAUACUAAAUUGGUUACCGCCCACGGCGGAUGCAGCGACUGGGGUGAAGUCGUAACAAGGUAACCGUAGGUGAACCUGCGGUUGGAUCACCUCCUUU
Molecule: ribosomal RNA, 1497 nt
Filed under: Helicobacter didelphidarum
Lineage: Bacteria; Pseudomonadati; Campylobacterota; Epsilonproteobacteria; Campylobacterales; Helicobacteraceae
Description: 16S ribosomal RNA
Rfam family: Bacterial small subunit ribosomal RNA
Source: Rfam by way of RNAcentral